Molecule: non-coding RNA, 186 nt
Organism: Oryza glumipatula
Lineage: Eukaryota; Viridiplantae; Streptophyta; Magnoliopsida; Poales; Poaceae
Source: Rfam
UUUAUAUAUAGUUUUUAUUCUGUGUUCAACGUUUAACUUUUCGUCUUAUUUUACUUUUUUCUUGAUUAUUAGAUGAUAAAAUAUGAAUAGUAUUUUAUGUGUGACUUAUUUUCUAAAAAAAUAUUAAUUUCUUAAAUAAGACGGACGGUCAAAUGUUAGACGCAUAGACUGAAAACUGCACUUAAA